GGACGCGUAGCUCAAUUGGAUAGAGCAUCAGAUUACGGCUCUGAAGGUUAGGGGUUCGACUCCCUUCGCGUUCA
This 74-nucleotide transfer RNA is filed under the name Riemerella anatipestifer. RNAcentral's name for it is "tRNA-Arg". It matches the Rfam family "tRNA". From Rfam's summary of the family: Transfer RNA (tRNA) molecules are approximately 80 nucleotides in length. Their secondary structure includes four short double-helical elements and three loops (D, anti-codon, and T loops). Further hydrogen bonds mediate the characteristic L-shaped molecular structure. tRNAs have two regions of fundamental functional importance: the anti-codon, which is responsible for specific mRNA codon recognition, and the 3' end, to which the tRNAs corresponding amino acid is attached (by aminoacyl-tRNA synthetases). tRNAs cope with the degeneracy of the genetic code in two manners: having more than one tRNA (with a specific anti-codon) for a particular amino acid; and 'wobble' base-pairing, i.e. permitting non-standard base-pairing at the 3rd anti-codon position. The record is from RNAcentral. RNAcentral also lists the same sequence under 1 other name. Lineage: Bacteria; Pseudomonadati; Bacteroidota; Flavobacteriia; Flavobacteriales; Weeksellaceae.